CUCGCUCUCUGUAUCUUCAUCCCAAGAGAUCUCUCUCUUGCUUUGCAUGUUAUUGACUUUGUCAACUAAUCCUAACAGGAUCUGGUGGUUUAGCAGCAUGAAGAAGCUGAGCUGAAGCAAGAACAGCGAAUAAAGACCUGAUAAGGUUUAUAAUCCAUGCUUGGCGUUCUGCAUCAUCCACGUAGCGUAAACUUGUCACUUCUAAUGCUAAGAUGACAAAGAUCGACAAGAAGUAGAUGAAGAAAGCUUUAAUCACCCGGGACUCGAGAAGCAUCGCAUUGUGCAAAGCAAACAGCUUAUCCAAAGCCACAAACAUGUUUGCCUGUUUUGCCUCAAACGCGACCUGCAAAAAUAGAUUGUUAAAAAAAUGAAUUGAUUGAUUUAUGUGACCUUGCUUCUGCUGCAGUUGAGAAAUUGUUAAGGUUUAGAGGACA
Molecule: long non-coding RNA, 434 nt
Organism: Capsella rubella
Lineage: Eukaryota; Viridiplantae; Streptophyta; Magnoliopsida; Brassicales; Brassicaceae
Exons: 3
Source: RefSeq, a predicted model, not a curated record